RNAcentral lists this ribosomal RNA (433 nucleotides) under uncultured bacterium. RNAcentral describes it as "partial 16S ribosomal RNA". It matches the Rfam family "Bacterial small subunit ribosomal RNA", at positions 29 to 507 of the family's 1533-position model. The record is from RNAcentral.
AACGAACGCUGGCGGCAUGCCUAACACAUGCAAGUCGAACGAGACCUUCGGGUCUAGUGGCUCACGGGUUCGUAACGCGUGGGAACCUGCCCUUAGGUUCGGAAUAACUCCCCGAAAUGGGUGCUAAUACCGGAUAAUGUCUUCGGACCAAAGAUUUAUCGCCUUUGGAUGGGCCCGCGUUGGAUUAGCUAGUUGGUAGGGUAAAAGCCUACCAAGGCGACGAUCCAUAGCUGGUCUGAGAGGAGGAUCAGCCACACUGGGACUGAGACACGGCCCAGACUCCUACGGGAGGCAGGAGUGGGGAAUAUUGGACAAUGGGCGAAAGCCUGAGCCAGCAAUGCCGGGUGAGUGAUGAAGGGCUUAGGGUUGUAAAGCUCUUUUACCCGGGAUGAUAAUGACAGUACCGGGAGAAUAAGCUCCGGCUAACUCCGUG